GAUGAACGCUGGCGGCGUGCCUAAUACAUGCAAGUCGAGCGAACGGACGAGAAGCUUGCUUCUCUGAUGUUAGCGGCGGACGGGUGAGUAACACGUGGAUAACCUACCUAUAAGACUGGGAUAACUUCGGGAAACCGGAGCUAAUACCGGAUGAUAUUUUGAACCGCAUGGUUCAAAAGUGAAAGACGGUCUUGCUGUCACUUAUAGAUGGAUCCGCGCUGCAUUAGCUAGUUGGUAAGGUAACGGCUUACCAAGGCAACGAUGCAUAGCCGACCUGAGAGGGUGAUCGGCCACACUGGAACUGAGACACGGUCCAGACUCCUACGGGAGGCAGCAGUAGGGAAUCUUCCGCAAUGGGCGAAAGCCUGACGGAGCAACGCCGCGUGAGUGACGAAAGUCUUUCGAUCGUAAAACUCUGGUAUUAAGGGAGAACAUAUGUGUUAGUUACUGUGCACCUCCUGAACGGACCUUAUUCAAAAAGCACCGCUUACUACGUGCCCGCAGCCGCCGUUAUACCUAAGUGGGCAGCGUUAUCCGGAAUUAUUGGGCGUAAAGCGCGCGUAGGCGGUUUUUUAGUCUGAUGUGAAAGCCCACGGCUCAACCGUGGAGGGUCAUUGGAAACUGGAAAACUUGAGUGCAGAAGAGGAAAGUGGAAUUCCAUGUGUAGCGGUGAAAUGCGCAGAGAUAUGGAGGAACACCAGUGGCGAAGGCGACUUUCUGGUCUGUAACUGACGCUGAUGUGCGAAAGCGUGGGGAUCAAACAGGAUUAGAUACCCUGGUAGUCCACGCCGUAAACGAUGAGUGCUAAGUGUUAGGGGGUUUCCGCCCCUUAGUGCUGCAGCUAACGCAUUAAGCACUCCGCCUGGGGAGUACGACCGCAAGGUUGAAACUCAAAGGAAUUGACGGGGACCCGCACAAGCGGUGGAGCAUGUGGUUUAAUUCGAAGCAACGCGAAGAACCUUACCAAAUCUUGACAUCCUUUGACAACUCUAGAGAUAGAGCCUUCCCCUUUCGGGGGGGACAAAGUGACAGGUGGUGCAUGGUUGUCGUCAGCUCGUGUCGUGAGAUGUUGGGUUAAGUCCCGCAACGAGCGCAACCCUUAAGCUUAGUUGCCAUCAUUAAGUUGGGCACUCUAAGUUGACUGCCGGUGACAAACCGGGGGAAGGUGGGGAUGACGUCAAAUCAUCAUGCCCCUUAUGAUUUGGGCUACACACGUGCUACAAUGGACAAUACAAAGGGCAGCGAAACCGCGAGGUCAAGCAAAUCCCAUAAAGUUGUUCUCAGUUCGGAUUGUAGUCUGCAACUCGACUACAUGAAGCUGGAAUCGCUAGUAAUCGUAGAUCAGCAUGCUACGGUGAAUACGUUCCCGGGUCU
This 1374-nucleotide ribosomal RNA is filed under the name uncultured bacterium. RNAcentral's name for it is "bacterial SSU rRNA". It matches the Rfam family "Bacterial small subunit ribosomal RNA", at positions 28 to 1381 of the family's 1533-position model. The record is from RNAcentral.